Long non-coding RNA from Brassica oleracea var. oleracea, 1206 nucleotides. RefSeq lists it as uncharacterized. The record is from RefSeq and is a predicted model, not a curated record. The transcript is spliced from 7 exons. NCBI's taxonomy places the organism in Eukaryota, Viridiplantae, Streptophyta, Magnoliopsida, Brassicales, Brassicaceae.
UUAAGAGAAAACAUAUCUUAAUUAGGGGAAGGAAGAUACCGUGUCUUGAGACACAUGUUGUGUUAUGGGUGUUCAGAAGCAAACCCGUGUCUCUCUCCUUUCUUCGAUUUCGUUGAAAUCACAGCAACUCUCCGACGGCGAUUUCUUCAUCUCUCAACGAUCUGAUGAUGGAUUCAGCGUCUCUCUCGUCGGACUCGUCGUCUCUGUCGGACUCUCGUCUGUCUCGUCGGACUCGCGUCUGUACCGAUCAAGUGACAUGAAGCUCUUUCGAAGAAGAGAACUACGUCGGACUCGUCGUAUUGACUUGUUUCUUUGAUUUCGGAUGUCUUUUGUGGAAUAUAUCAUUCUUCUUGGUUAGCAUUAUUCACUUGUUAUUGACACGAGUCCUCAAUCUUGGUUGUUACUUGUUACUUGACUGUUUUGCUGUAGAACUACACUGGUGACAAGGCAAUUGGGAAAGUGUGAGAAGUACUUCCUAGAGCUAAUGAAGGUGCCACGAGUAGAAUCGAAGAUGAGAGUGUUUUCCUUCAAGAUUCAAUUCGGCACUCAGAUAAUAGAAUUCAAAAAAUGCCGUAAAUUCCGCGUGUGAUGAGGUUCGUACUUCACAAAAGCUAAAAGAAAUUAUGAAAAAAGAUUCUUUACCUGGGGAACACAUUGAACCAAGGAACUGCGAGGGGCGCUGCAGUGGGAUUCAAGUUGGACAGUUUAUUAAAACUAAGCGAUACACGUGCUGCUAACAGCAAGAUGACUCUCAUGCACUAUCUUUGCAAGGUCCUUGCUUCCAAGGGAUCAGAUCUACUGGACUUCCAUAAGGAUCUUGGAAGUCUUGAAUCAGCUUCAAAGAUACAAUUGAAGUCGCUGGCGGAGGAAAUGUAAGUUGUCAACCUUUACUAGACCCCAAUCUAUUACAUUUGAAAAUAUGUUUGAUCUUGAAAUGUAUGUUAAUGUCUUUCUAAUAAUCAAUAAAUUUGAAGUUUAAUAACAAAAUGUUUAAGAUUUUUUUUUAAGAACCAUUAAAUAAGAAACUUGCAUUGGACCACACAAAUAUACCAUCUCUUAACUAAAUCUCUAAAACUCACUUUUCCAACUAAAAAUUAUUAAAAAAAAGAUUAAGAACCCCUAAAUGAAUAUGUGGGAUAAUGUUGCUCUUACAUACUCCUUCAAGAAACAUUGAUUUAUUCUCAAGAGAUUACAAAGAGAGUGACA